UACGGGUGGCGCAAGUGUUACUCUUCAUCAUUGGGCGUAAAGGGUGCGUAGGCGGUGUAACAAGUUCCAAGUUAAAUGAUAACAUGAACGUGUUCUGUGAUUUUUUAUACUGUUACACUAGAGUAUUGAUAAGACAAUGGAACUUUUAAUAAAGAAUUUAAAUGCAUGGGUAUAUUAAAGGGAACACCAAAAGCGAAGGCAAUUGUCUGGUGAAAUACUGACGCUGAGGCACGAAGGCAUAGGUAUCAAACAGG
RNAcentral lists this ribosomal RNA (254 nucleotides) under uncultured bacterium. RNAcentral describes it as "partial 16S ribosomal RNA". It matches the Rfam family "Bacterial small subunit ribosomal RNA", at positions 524 to 776 of the family's 1533-position model. The record is from RNAcentral.